This 345-nucleotide unclassified non-coding RNA is filed under the name soil metagenome. Its description in RNAcentral is "partial contains 5.8S ribosomal RNA, internal transcribed spacer 2, and large subunit ribosomal RNA". The stretch from base 1 to 120 matches the Rfam family "5.8S ribosomal RNA", at positions 35 to 154 of the family's 154-position model. The record is from RNAcentral.
GAUGAAGAACGUAGUAAAAUGCGAUAAGUAAUGUGAAUUGCAGAAUUCAGUGAAUCAUCGAAUCUUUGAACGCACAUUGCGCCCCCUGGUAUUCCGGGGGGCAUGCCUGUCCGAGCGUCAUUGCUGCCCUCAAGCACGGCUUGUGUGUUGGGCCUCCGUCCUCCUCCCGGGGGACGGGCCCGAAAGGCAGCGGCGGCACCGCGUCCGGUCCUCGAGCGUAUGGGGCUUCGUCACCCGCUCUUGUAGGCCCGGCCGGCGCUUGCCGACACAUCAAUCUUUUUUCCAGGUUGACCUCGGAUCAGGUAGGGAUACCCGCUGAACUUAAGCAUAUCAAUAAGCGGAGGA